UUGAUUUGAUUUGAUUUGAUGCUGAAGUUGCCUAAUACACGACAAAAACUGGGUUGAAGCAAGCGAUAAUGUUUUCCGAUAAUACCGAUUCCUAUUAAUUUUCACGUUAUGUCAGGUAUCGUAUUCGUAAAAUCACUGACGCCCGAAAGGUGAAAAAAAAAAAAACAUUCGCACGCUUUUUACUAUCGUGCGAUAUAUUGAGACUUCUUAUGGAAGCAACGCAAGUACACUCAAGUGAUUUCUGUUUUUUUUUUCUAGGGCUCUGAUGCAUAUCGAGAAUCAGUAUACACGUGCGUUGGGAAUAUGUCAGCCCUCCUCACCAGUCGAUUGAACCCGGAAUGGAUAGAAGAUCAGUCCGGCCAAGAUCCUUCGGGCCUGUACUACGAAGGCGUUAAGUGUGCCCGGAAACACAAAGUGUUCACGGAGGACUCAGCUGUCGCACUCUUUGGAAUAAAAUGGGUGCGAGACACGCUCUUUUAGAGGACCGUGCAAAAUUAGAUACAGUUCAGACUAGUGUGCGCGUUCAUUAUCUGAAAUGUCACGGUUUUGCUUAAGCAUAAAGUUAUGAGGACAAUAAUCGAAAUAAAACAGAAGAGACGCGCGUUCAAGAAGGCCAUAUUGAUAAUUUUCCAACUGGUUGCAACAUUUGCAAAAUUUUGUCAUGAGAUGAGAGUCAUGGGACCUUGGCUUUUGGCGUCACUGAGCGAUGAGAUUAUGUGAGAGCACCGCACAAAAUAACAGAGUUUGGAUGAGCCCGUUUCGACCCUGUGCGCGUCCGCCGUGUCGAAGUGCUUGAGCCCGAAAUCUCAGUAAGCACGUAAACACGUCCAACGACUCAGCCACAUGGCGAAAACGGUCACGCGAUUGGCUGCACUGAUCAUUUGACAUUCAGUCCAGUAAUCUCUUAACCGCCCUUAACCGUGGCAGUGGUUAGUCAUUUGAACGGGAGCAUUGAUUGUACAGCGAAACGCGGUGCGAUUUGUCUCGGUUGGAAUGUGGUUUUCUUUCUGCCGCGUUCCUUUGGCAGGGUGACACUUGCAGCAAUUCAUCUUUCAGCGGGUUCGGAAAGCCUGCCAGCAAUGGCACAUUAGUAACUCAAGAGUGCACACACGAUCUGCGAUAGCAAGUUCCCCGAAGAGCGGCAAAUGCUGUUCGAAAAAACUAUAAAGUACACCCCCCAUACGGCGAUUGUAAAAUAUUUUGCCAUCUGGAAAGCUUAGUAAAGCCAAUAAUGGUCUUAGAGUAAAAUCAUAAACAAAGCCUACACGAUGGCUGAAUCGCGCAUCAUCGCAACCACGUGUUUGUGAACCUGUUUUAGGUACUUCAGUGAUCAAGAACCAUGAUAACAUAACGCGCGAAAUUAACGAGGUUGACGAGAGGCCAAGCUCAGAUCGCGUGAACGCCUAUCAUCCUCGUUUAACUGAUAUAUAGUUGAAACUAUGUACCCAUCACGCGGCGUUGCUAAAGUGCAUAAAUAUAUAUAUUUUUUUUUUCGAGAAUAAAAGGGUUCUUUGAUGUUUGGA
Molecule: long non-coding RNA, 1523 nt
Organism: Dermacentor andersoni
Lineage: Eukaryota; Metazoa; Arthropoda; Arachnida; Ixodida; Ixodidae
Source: RefSeq, a predicted model, not a curated record